This 417-nucleotide ribosomal RNA is filed under the name uncultured bacterium. RNAcentral's name for it is "bacterial SSU rRNA". It matches the Rfam family "Bacterial small subunit ribosomal RNA", at positions 358 to 773 of the family's 1533-position model. The record is from RNAcentral.
GGAAUAUUGGUCAAUGGGCGGGAGCCUGAACCAGCCAAGUCGCGUGAGGGACGACGGUCCUAUGGAUUGUAAACCUCUUUUUUCGGGGAACAAAGGCGCCCACGGGUGGGCGGAUCAGUGUACCCGAAGAAAAAGCAUCGGCUAACUCCGUUCCAGCAGCCGCGGUAAUACGGAGGAUGCGAGCGUUAUCAGGAUUUAGUGGGUUUAAAGGGUGCGUAGGCGGACGGUCAAGUCAGCGGUAAAAAUGCGGUGCUCAACGCCGUACAGCCGUUGAAACUGGCGUUCUUGAGUGGGCGAGAAGUAUGCGGAAUGCGUGGUGUAGCGGUGAAAUGCAUAGAUAUCACGCAGAACUCCGAUUGCGAAGGCAGCAUACCGGCGCCCAACUGACGCUGAAGCACGAAAGCGUGGGUAUCGAAC